RNAcentral lists this ribosomal RNA (637 nucleotides) under uncultured bacterium. RNAcentral describes it as "bacterial SSU rRNA". It matches the Rfam family "Bacterial small subunit ribosomal RNA", at positions 607 to 1244 of the family's 1533-position model. The record is from RNAcentral.
GCUCAACCGGGGAGGGUCAUUGGAAACUGGGAAACUUGAGUGCAGAAGAGGAGAGUGGAAUUCCACGUGUAGCGGUGAAAUGCGUAGAGAUGUGGAGGAACACCAGUGGCGAAGGCGACUCUCUGGUCUGUAACUGACGCUGAGGAGCGAAAGCGUGGGGAGCGAACAGGAUUAGAUACCCUGGUAGUCCACGCCGUAAACGAUGAGUGCUAAGUGUUAGGGGGUUUCCGCCCCUUAGUGCUGCAGCUAACGCAUUAAGCACUCCGCCUGGGGAGUACGGUCGCAAGACUGAAACUCAAAGGAAUUGACGGGGGCCCGCUCAAGCGGUGGAGCAUGUGGUUUAAUUCGAAGCAACGCGAAGAACCUUACCAGGUCUUGACAUCCUCUGACAACCCUAGAGAUAGGGCUUUCCCUUCGGGGACAGAGUGACAGGUGGUGCAUGGUUGUCGUCAGCUCGUGUCGUGAGAUGUUGGGUUAAGUCCCGCAACGAGCGCAACCCUUGAUCUUAGUUGCCAGCAUUCAGUUGGGCACUCUAAGGUGACUGCCGGUGACAAACCGGAGGAAGGUGGGGAUGACGUCAAAUCAUCAUGCCCCUUAUGACCUGGGCUACACACGUGCUACAAUGGACAGAACAAAG